AAACAGCCCCCUACGUUUUGAUUCUUUGGCAGUUUUGGUCCCCGAAGGCAAAAAAAUAAUAAAAAAUUUGACACGUGGCACCUCACUUAGGGUGCCACGUCAGCGUUGACCGAGUCAACAAUGGACUGGGGGUCCAAAACUACUAAAGAAUCAAAACAUAGGGGGCUGUUU
RNAcentral lists this microRNA precursor (171 nucleotides) under Medicago truncatula (barrel medic). Its description in RNAcentral is "MIR2619 microRNA precursor family". It matches the Rfam family "MIR2619 microRNA precursor family". Lineage: Eukaryota; Viridiplantae; Streptophyta; Magnoliopsida; Fabales; Fabaceae. The record is from Rfam by way of RNAcentral.